RNAcentral lists this ribosomal RNA (940 nucleotides) under Trametes orientalis. Its description in RNAcentral is "eukaryotic LSU rRNA". It matches the Rfam family "Eukaryotic large subunit ribosomal RNA", at positions 37 to 964 of the family's 3401-position model. The record is from RNAcentral. Lineage: Eukaryota; Fungi; Basidiomycota; Agaricomycetes; Polyporales; Polyporaceae.
AGCAUAUCAAUAAGCGGAGGAAAAGAAACUAACAAGGAUUCCCCUAGUAACUGCGAGUGAAGCGGGAAAAGCUCAAAUUUAAAAUCUGGCGGUCUUUGGCCGUCCGAGUUGUAGUCUGGAGAAGUGCUUUCCGCGCUGGACCGUGUACAAGUCUCUUGGAACAGAGCGUCAUAGAGGGUGAGAAUCCCGUCUUUGACACGGACUACCAGUGCUUUGUGAUGCGCUCUCAAAGAGUCGAGUUGUUUGGGAAUGCAGCUCAAAAUGGGUGGUGAAUUCCAUCUAAAGCUAAAUAUUGGCGAGAGACCGAUAGCGAACAAGUACCGUGAGGGAAAGAUGAAAAGCACUUUGGAAAGAGAGUUAAACAGUACGUGAAAUUGCUGAAAGGGAAACGCUUGAAGUCAGUCGCGUUGUCCGGAACUCAGCCUUGCUUCGGCUUGGUGCACUUUCCGGAUGACGGGCCAGCAUCGAUUUUGACCGCCGGAAAAGGGUAGGAGAAAUGUGGCACCUUCGGGUGUGUUAUAGUCUCCUAUCGCAUACGGCGGUUGGGAUCGAGGAACGCAGCGCGCCUUAUGGCUGGGGUUCGCCCACAUUCGCGCUUAGGAUGCUGGCAUAAUGGCUUUAAACGACCCGUCUUGAAACACGGACCAAGGAGUCUAACAUACCUGCGAGUGUUUGGGUGGAAAACCCGAGCGCGUAAUGAAAGUGAAAGUUGAGACCUCUGUCGUGGAGGGCAUCGACGCCCGGACCUGACGUUCUCUGACGGAUCCGCGGUAGAGCAUGUAUGUUGGGACCCGAAAGAUGGUGAACUAUGCCUGAAUAGGGUGAAGCCAGAGGAAACUCUGGUGGAGGCUCGUAGCGAUUCUGACGUGCAAAUCGAUCGUCAAAUUUGGGUAUAGGGGCGAAAGACUAAUCGAACCAUCUAGUAGCUGGUUCCUGCCGA